GACGAACGCUGGCGGCGUGCUUAACACAUGCAAGUCGAACGGAAAGGCCCCUUUGGGGGUCCUCGAGUGGCGAACGGGUGAGUAACACGUGAGUAACCUGCCCUUGACUUCGGGAUAACUUCAGGAAACUGGGGCUAAUACCGGAUAGGAAUCCUUGCUGCAUGGUGGGGGUUGGAAAGCUUCGGGGGUUUUGGAUGGACUCACGGCUUAUCAGCUUGUUGGUGGGGUAGUGGCUUACCAAGGCUUUGACGGGUAGCCGGCCUGGGAGGGCGACCGGCCACAGUGGGACUGAGAUACGGCCCAGACUCCUACGGGAGGCAGAAGUGGGGAAUAUUGCACAAGGGGCGGAAGCCUGAUGCAGCAACGCCGCGUGCGGGAUGACGGCCUUAGGGUUGGAAACCGCGUUCAGCAGGGGCGAAGCUUGUGGUGACGGUACCUGCAGAAGAAGCACCGGCUAACUACGUG
This 465-nucleotide ribosomal RNA is filed under the name uncultured bacterium. Its description in RNAcentral is "partial 16S ribosomal RNA". It matches the Rfam family "Bacterial small subunit ribosomal RNA", at positions 28 to 507 of the family's 1533-position model. The record is from RNAcentral.